AGUGAACGAGGGAGGGAGGAGGUACACAGGCAAGUCGAACGGCAGCACGGUCAGCGCUCUCGCUUAGGGUUGGCGAGGGGCGGGUGAGUGAGGGGUACAUGGGCAGCUGCUGUGUCUAGGGGGACGACGGCGGGAAACAUACCGUAAUAGAGCAUACGGUGAACGGGGGGGAGCAGCGGAUCUCGCGACAUUGGGCGGUCCGAUGAGACGAUGUCGGAUUGGCUAGUUGGAGGGGUAACGACGUACCAAGGCGACGAUCCGUAGCUGGUCUGAGAGGAUGAACAGCCACACUGGAACUGAGACACGGUCCAGACUCCUACGGGAGGCAGCAGUGGGGAAUAUUGGACAAUGGGCGCAAGCCUGAUCCAGCCAUGCCGCGUGUGUGAAGAAGGCCUUCGGGUUGUAAAGCUCUGUUGUUGGGAAAGAAAAGCAGUGUGUUAAUACCCCGCUGUGCUGACGGUACCCAAAGAAUAAGCACCGGCUACCUACGUG
This 492-nucleotide ribosomal RNA is filed under the name uncultured bacterium. Its description in RNAcentral is "partial 16S ribosomal RNA". It matches the Rfam family "Bacterial small subunit ribosomal RNA", at positions 30 to 507 of the family's 1533-position model. The record is from RNAcentral.